GGUCUUAUAGCUCAGCUGGUUCGGAGCAUCGUACUAACAAUGCGGCAGUCGAGAGCUCGAAUCUUUCUAGGAUCC
Hypoxylon crocopeplum is the source of this 75-nucleotide non-coding RNA. The record is from the annotation of a GenBank genome assembly. Lineage: Eukaryota; Fungi; Ascomycota; Sordariomycetes; Xylariales; Hypoxylaceae.